RNAcentral lists this ribosomal RNA (253 nucleotides) under uncultured bacterium. RNAcentral describes it as "partial 16S ribosomal RNA". It matches the Rfam family "Bacterial small subunit ribosomal RNA", at positions 524 to 776 of the family's 1533-position model. The record is from RNAcentral.
UACGGAGGAUUCGAGCGUUAUCCGGAUUUAUUGGGUUUAAAGGGUGCGUAGGCGGUUUUUUAAGUCAGCGGUGAAAGGUAUACGCUUAACGUAUAAAGUGCCGUUGAUACUGGAAGACUUGAGUACAGAUGAAGUUGGCGGAAUGUGGCAAGUAGCGGUGAAAUGCAUAGAUAUGCCACAGAACACCGAUAGCGAAGGCAGCUGACUAAGUUGUAACUGACGCUGAGGCACGAAGGUGCGGGGAUCGAACAGG